UUACCGAGCGCGGCUCUCAGAAAUGUAAUGUUUAUCGAAUGUAGCUCUUGGCAGCGAUAAGGCUCCAUCAAACUUUAGUUCCACCUCGCCGAGAGACAAGCAAGAUGACAUGUUUAAGUAGUGGGACAAUCUACAUGUAGUAAGCUUCGGUAUUCAUUACAUUCCUGCUAAGAAGAUAGACUCUCACUUUGAAUUUCACUUAUUCCAGGCGAAGAAGAUUCAGAGUAAUAGGCCAUCUUCCUAG
This 244-nucleotide long non-coding RNA is filed under the name Hordeum vulgare. RNAcentral describes it as "long non-coding RNA (HVUL_LNC006621)". The record is from RNAcentral. Lineage: Eukaryota; Viridiplantae; Streptophyta; Magnoliopsida; Poales; Poaceae.